GCAGACACAUUCCAGCCAAUCAGCAGCAGACCCUCCCUCCCAGAUCCUCCCACCUCCUGGACAGCAUCCAUUUUACAUUCAUUGUGAAGCUGCAUUCUUAGUGAGCUGUCCAGGAGGUGGGAGGGUCUGGGAGGGAGGGUCUGCUGCUGAUUGGCUGGAAUGUGUCUG
Molecule: non-coding RNA, 168 nt
Organism: Pelobates cultripes (western spadefoot toad)
Lineage: Eukaryota; Metazoa; Chordata; Amphibia; Anura; Pelobatidae
Source: the annotation of a GenBank genome assembly